RNAcentral lists this ribosomal RNA (813 nucleotides) under Flavobacterium sp. RNAcentral's name for it is "bacterial SSU rRNA". It matches the Rfam family "Bacterial small subunit ribosomal RNA", at positions 56 to 875 of the family's 1533-position model. Lineage: Bacteria; Pseudomonadati; Bacteroidota; Flavobacteriia; Flavobacteriales; Flavobacteriaceae. The record is from RNAcentral.
UGCAAGUCGAGGGGUAGAGGCCUUCGGGCCUUGAGACCGGCGCACGGGUGCGUAACGCGUAUGCAAUCUGCCUUCCACAGAGGGAUAGCCCAGAGAAAUUUGGAUUAAUACCUCAUAGCAUCAUGACCCGGCAUCGGGAUAUGAUUAAAGUCACAACGGUGGAAGAUGAGCAUGCGUCCCAUUAGCUAGUUGGUAAGGUAACGGCUUACCAAGGCUACGAUGGGUAGGGGUCCUGAGAGGGAGAUCCCCCACACUGGUACUGAGACACGGACCAGACUCCUACGGGAGGCAGCAGUGAGGAAUAUUGGUCAAUGGGCGCAAGCCUGAACCAGCCAUGCCGCGUGCAGGAUGACGGUCCUAUGGAUUGUAAACUGCUUUUGUACGGGAAGAAACCCUCCUACGUGUAGGAGCUUGACGGUACCGUAAGAAUAAGGAUCGGCUAACUCCGUGCCAGCAGCCGCGGUAAUACGGAGGAUCCAAGCGUUAUCCGGAAUCAUUGGGUUUAAAGGGUCUGUAGGCGGUCUUGUAAGUCAGUGGUGAAAGCCCAUCGCUCAACGGUGGAACGGCCAUUGAUACUGCUGGACUUGAAUUAUUGGGAAGCAACUAGAAUAUGUAGUGUAGCGGUGAAAUGCUUAGAGAUUACAUGGAAUACCAAUUGCGAAGGCAGGUUGCUACCAAUGGAUUGACGCUGAUGGACGAAAGCGUGGGUAGCGAACAGGAUUAGAUACCCUGGUAGUCCACGCCGUAAACGAUGGAUACUAGCUGUUGGGCGCAAGUUCAGUGGCUAAGCGAAAGUGAUAAGUAUCCCACCUG